CCUACGGGAGGCAGCAGUGAGGAAUAUUGGUCAAUGGACGAGAGUCUGACCCAGCCAAGUAGCGUGAAGGAUGACUGCCCUAUGGGUUGUAAACUUCUUUUAUAAAGGAAUAAAACGAGGCACGUGUGCCUUUUUGCAUGUACUUUAUGAAUAAGGAUCGGCUAACUCCGUGCCAGCAGCCGCGGUAAUACGGAGGAUCCGAGCGUUAUCCGGAUUUAUUGGGUUUAAAGGGAGCGUAGAUGGGUUGUUAAGUCAGUUGUGAAAGUUUGCGGCUCAACCGUAAAAUUGCAAUUGAUACUGGCAGUCUUGAGUACAGUUGAGGUAGGCGGAAUUCGUGGUGUAGCGGUGAAAUGCUUAGAUAUUACGAAGAACCCCGAUUGCGAAGGCAGCUUACUAAACUGUGACUGACAUUGAGGCUCGAAAGUGUGGGUAUCAAACAGGAUUAGAUACCCGGGUAGUC
This 460-nucleotide ribosomal RNA is filed under the name uncultured bacterium. RNAcentral describes it as "partial 16S ribosomal RNA". It matches the Rfam family "Bacterial small subunit ribosomal RNA", at positions 338 to 795 of the family's 1533-position model. The record is from RNAcentral.